RNAcentral lists this ribosomal RNA (304 nucleotides) under uncultured bacterium. Its description in RNAcentral is "bacterial SSU rRNA". It matches the Rfam family "Bacterial small subunit ribosomal RNA", at positions 30 to 334 of the family's 1533-position model. The record is from RNAcentral.
AUUGAACGCUGGUGGCAUGCUUAACACAUGCAAGUCGAACGGUAACAUGAAGUAGCUUGCUAUUUUGAUGACGAGUGGCGGACGGGUGAGUAAAGCGUAGGAAUCUGCCUUUUAGCGGGGGACAACUUAGGGAAACUUAAGCUAAUACCGCAUAAUGCCUUAGGGCUAAAGCUGGCUUCGGCUGGCGCUGAAAGAUGAGCCUACGUUGGAUUAGCUAGUUGGUGGGGUAAAGGCUUACCAAGGCGACGAUCUAUAGCUGUUCUGAGAGGAAGAUCAGCCACACUGGGACUGAGACACGGCCCAG